Molecule: ribosomal RNA, 305 nt
Filed under: uncultured bacterium
Lineage: Bacteria
Description: partial 16S ribosomal RNA
Rfam family: Bacterial small subunit ribosomal RNA
Source: RNAcentral
ACAGCAGUCGCCACGGGAAUACGAAGGGGGCUAGCGUUGCUCGGAAUCACUGGGCGUAAAGGGUGCGUAGGCGGGUCUUUAAGUCAGGGGUGAAAUCCUGGAGCUCAACUCCAGAACUGCCUUUGAUACUGAAGAUCUUGAGUUCGGGAGAGGUGAGUGGAACUGCGAGUGUGGAGGUGAAAUUCGUAGAUAUUCGCAAGAACACCAGUGGCGAAGGCGGCUCACUGGCCCGAUACUGACGCUGAGGCACGAAAGCGUGGGGAGCAAACAGGAUUAGAUACCCCGGUAGUCCCUGUCUCUUAUAA